GAUGAACGCUGGCGGCGUGCCUAUCCAUUCCAAUUCAACCAACAGAACAGGAAGUUGCUUCUCUUACGUUUGGCGCGGACCGGUGAGGUACACGUUGAAUACCUACCUAUUAGACCGGGGUAAAUUCCGGAAACCGGAGCUAAUUCCGGAUAAAUAAUUUAACCGGAUGGGUCCAUAGUGAAAUGCGGUUUUUCUGUCACUUAUAGAUGGAUUCCCGCCGCAUUAGCUAGUUGGUAAGGUAACGGCCUACCAAGGCAACGAUGCGUAGCCGACCUGAGAGGGUGAUCGGCCACACUGGAACUGAGACACGGUCCAGACUCCUACGGGAGGCAGCAGUAGGGAAUCUUCCGCAAUGGGCGAAAGCUUGACGGAGCAACGCCGCGUGAGUGAUGAAGGUCUUCGGAUCGUAAAACUCUGUUAUUAGGGAAGAACAAAUGUGUAAGUAACUAUGCACGUCUUGACGGUACCUAAUCAGAAAGCCACGGCUAACUACGUG
This 496-nucleotide ribosomal RNA is filed under the name uncultured bacterium. RNAcentral describes it as "partial 16S ribosomal RNA". It matches the Rfam family "Bacterial small subunit ribosomal RNA", at positions 28 to 507 of the family's 1533-position model. The record is from RNAcentral.